UACAGAGGUCCCAAGCGUUGUUCGGAAUCACUGGGCUUAAAGCGUGUGUAGGCGGGCCCGUAAGUGUCUUGUGAAAUCCCACGGCUCAACCGUGGAACUGCUGGGCAUACUGCGGGUCUUGGGCCAACUAGGGGCAGCCGGAACAAGCGGUGGAGCGGUGAAAUGCGUAGAUAUCGCUUGGAACGCCGAAGGUGAAAACAGGCUGCUGGGGUUGCGCCGACGCUGAGACACGAAAGCCAGGGGAGCAAACGGG
This 253-nucleotide ribosomal RNA is filed under the name uncultured bacterium. Its description in RNAcentral is "partial 16S ribosomal RNA". It matches the Rfam family "Bacterial small subunit ribosomal RNA", at positions 524 to 776 of the family's 1533-position model. The record is from RNAcentral.